CGAAUCUAAGUUCACAGGCAAAGACAGGGAUUGACCACCAUUAAGUAACUUCACUUCAUUAGAAUGAUUUUUCACUUCAAUACUGGUAUUUUCAUCUGCCUCCACAGAGUCCAAAAUAGAAACUGAUUUGGUGACUUCAUCAUCAGGUUUCCUUCCAUUGAAGCCAAAGUAUGCUGAUAGAGACGCAUAAGGAGCAGAAGAUGGAAAGGGGAAACUGUCCCCCACAACUUUCUUCAGAGAUGAUGAAAUAGCUGACAACCCAGAAAGGACAGCUGGAUUAUAUGGUUCAUGAGAAAAUGGAGAAAACCCUUCCGAUUCCAAGUUCAAUCCAUCGGUGCUUUUUUCAUCAAGUCCACUGCGUAUGGGAAUAUCAGUACUAAUUAUUCCAUUUUCAGCAGAAUACUCGAGAGAUGGAAUACUUGAAUUAGUUGAUGCUGAAUCAUGGGAUUCUUGAUUGGUUGGCAAGAUAUCUGCUACAUUCACAGAAGGAAUGGUAGAGAACAUUGCUUUUUGAUCAACAACAAAGGAGGUUUCGAGGAUUAAGUGAUAUGCCAUGAUAACGGCACAUCGCAUGACACAUUUGAUCCUCUUAAGUUCAUCACUGUGUGUUCCUUUCAGCAAAAUCUGCAAUUGCAGGUGAUGCGUAAGUUAAUAGCGCCCAAAACUUUAGAUGAAAAAUCAUUUUCAGUAAGAAAGACCAUAAACAACAACUUCACAUCCAUAUGAUGGCAGAUUAUGGUGGUAAAAAUCACCAAUAUUUGACAUCAUAAACCAACACAAGCACGGGGCAGAUAACAAAUAUCAUGUGCGAACAAUUUGAAAACAAAAAAUUACUACUCAAGUUGAUAAUAAUGAAGCAGAAAUUAUUUCGAAUUUCAUAAGUAUCAAAGAGGCAUAAAUCCCCAGACAUUCACACAGUACACUGAUACGUUGAAGUAUAUAUUCUUUGAAAAUGAGGGCAUGGAUAACUUUAAUGUUCAUCAAACAUGUUACAUAGUAUAUAACAACAUACAGUUUAUUUGCUAUCAAAGUGAAAAACAGCAUCAAUAUAUUAUGUAAAUAAUAAUAGAAUGCUAACUUCAACAAAAACAAAACCUUUGAACACCCAAGCCAAAAGACUGAGGAUUCAAGUACGGAGAAAUGUUUGCUUUCAAAUUUAUGUAAAUAAACACAAUACAAAUUUGCAGUGUCACAGAAGACGAAGAAUCCAUCUCAUUAGUUUUUAAGAUUUAGAAUUAGAAUCAUAAAUAAGAAAUGGAGGUUUCAAGUCACAAAUAAAAGCAUACCGUACAACCCAAACGUGUAGGGCAUUCACUUCAAUACUGGUAUUUUCAUCUGCCUCCACAGAGUCCAAAAUAGAAACUGAUUUGGUGACUUCAUCAUCAGGUUUCCUUCCAUUGAAGCCAAAGUAUGCUGAUAGAGACGCAUAAGGAGCAGAAGAUGGAAAGGGGAAACUGUCCCCCACAACUUUCUUCAGAGAUGAUGAAAUAGCUGACAACCCAGAAAGGACAGCUGGAUUAUAUGGUUCAUGAG
RNAcentral lists this long non-coding RNA (1533 nucleotides) under Lotus japonicus. Its description in RNAcentral is "long non-coding RNA (LJAP_LNC002134)". The record is from RNAcentral. Lineage: Eukaryota; Viridiplantae; Streptophyta; Magnoliopsida; Fabales; Fabaceae.